CAGCACCUCAAGUGGUCAGGAUGAUUAUUGGGCCUAAAGCAUCCGUAGCCGGCGCUGUAAGUUUUCGGUUAAAUCUGUACGCUCAACGUACAGGCUGCCGGGAAUACUGCAGAGCUAGGGAGUGGGAGAGGUAGACGGUACUCGGUAGGAAGGGGUAAAAUCCUUUGAUCUAUUGAUGACCACCUGUGGCGAAGGCGGUCUACCAGAACACGUCCGACGGUGAGGGGUGAAAGCUGGGGGAGCAAACCGGAUUAGAUACCCGAGUAGUCC
Molecule: ribosomal RNA, 270 nt
Filed under: uncultured archaeon
Lineage: Archaea
Description: partial 16S ribosomal RNA
Rfam family: Archaeal small subunit ribosomal RNA
Source: RNAcentral